This 460-nucleotide ribosomal RNA is filed under the name uncultured bacterium. RNAcentral describes it as "partial 16S ribosomal RNA". It matches the Rfam family "Bacterial small subunit ribosomal RNA", at positions 338 to 795 of the family's 1533-position model. The record is from RNAcentral.
CCUACGGGUGGCAGCAGUGAGGAAUAUUGGUCAAUGGGCGCUAGCCUGAACCAGCCAAGUAGCGUGAAGGAUGACUGCCCUAUGGGUUGUAAACUUCUUUUAUAUGGGGGUAAACUGCAAUAUGUAUACUGCUCUGCAUGUACCUUAUGAAUAAGGAUCGGCUAACUCCGUGCCAGCAGCCGCGGUAAUACGGAGGAUCCGAGCGUUAUCCGGAUUUAUUGGGUUUAAAGGGAGCGUAGGCGGGUGGUUAAGUCAGUUGUGAAAGUUGGCGGCUCAACCGUGAAAUUGCAGUUGAUACUGGCAGGCUUGAGUACAGUAGAGGUAGGCGGAAUGCGUGGUGUAGCGGUGAAAUGCUUAGAGAUCACGAAGAACUCCGAUUGCGAAGGCAGCCUGCUGGGCUGUAACUGACGCUGAGGCUCGAAAGUGUGGGUAUCAAACAGGAUUAGAUACCCUUGUAGUC